UACGUAGGGUGCAAGCGUUGUCCGGAAUUAUUGGGCGUAAAGAGCUCGUAGGCGGUUCGUCGCGUCGGCUGCGAAAUCCCGGAGCUCAACUCCGGGUCUGCAGUCGAUACGGGCGGACUUGAGUACUGCAGGGGAGACUGGAAUUCCUGGUGUAGCGGUGAAAUGCGCAGAUAUCAGGAGGAACACCGGUGGCGAAGGCGGGUCUCUGGGCCGAUACUGACGCUGAGGAGCGAAAGCGUGGGGAGCGAACAGG
This 253-nucleotide ribosomal RNA is filed under the name uncultured bacterium. RNAcentral describes it as "partial 16S ribosomal RNA". It matches the Rfam family "Bacterial small subunit ribosomal RNA", at positions 524 to 776 of the family's 1533-position model. The record is from RNAcentral.